Molecule: ribosomal RNA, 252 nt
Filed under: uncultured prokaryote
Description: partial 16S ribosomal RNA
Rfam family: Bacterial small subunit ribosomal RNA
Source: RNAcentral
CCGUAGGCGGCCCUCUUUCUCCUUAGUUACUGGUCUUAAAGGGCGUUCAGGCGGUUGGCUAAGUUCGUUGUGAAAGCGCCCAGGCUUAACCGGGCGAGGACAAUGAAGACUGGUCAGCUAGAGGACGGUAGAGGGGUGUGGAAUUCCGGGUGUAGUGGUGAAAUGCGUAGAGAUCCGGAGGAACACCAGAGGCGAAGGCGACACCCUGGGCCGUACCUGACGCUAAGACGCGACAGCACGGGGAGCGAACGG